UACGGAGGGUGCAAGCGUUAAUCGGAAUUACUGGGCGUAAAGGGUGCGUAGGUUGUUUUUUAAGUUAUCUGUAAAAUCCCUGGGCUCAACCUGGGCAUGUCAGAUAAGACUGAGAGACUCGAGUAUAGGAGAGGGUAGUGGAAUUUCCGGUGUAGCGGUGAAAUGCGUAGAGAUCGGAAGGAACACCAGUGGCGAAGGCGGCUACCUGGCCUAAUACUGACACUGAGGCACGAAAGCGUGGGGAGCAAACAGG
This 253-nucleotide ribosomal RNA is filed under the name uncultured bacterium. Its description in RNAcentral is "partial 16S ribosomal RNA". It matches the Rfam family "Bacterial small subunit ribosomal RNA", at positions 524 to 776 of the family's 1533-position model. The record is from RNAcentral.